This 837-nucleotide long non-coding RNA is filed under the name Homo sapiens (human). Its description in RNAcentral is "HSALNT0307292". Lineage: Eukaryota; Metazoa; Chordata; Mammalia; Primates; Hominidae. The record is from RNAcentral.
AGAGCUGAUCAAGGGAACCUCAACAAACAACCCCAGCCAUGGAGGCGGCGGUGUCUUUGAAGACCCCAUGAGAGCAUCAAACAAGGGAGAGAGCCUGGAACAAAUCAUGGUAGUAAAAUGGCGGCAGAGAGCUAGUAAUGUGUCUGCAAUUGGUGGGUUCUUGGUCGCACUGACUUCAAGAAUGAAGCCGCGGACCCUCACGGCUACUCCUGACUGACCAUCACAUAAAAGAAUACAAAACAAUCUGAAAGUCAACCAAGGAAAUAGUAAUCAAGAAUAAUUCUGAAUAGACGUAAUUUCUACUUUAUGCAUGACUGUAAACCUUAACUUCACUGAACUAGACCAGGGAAUUGGCUUUCGCAUUGCUUGUUGGGCUUUUAAACCAGUGAAUGGAAAGAAUAAAAAGUUUUCUCCACACAACUUCUCGGAAGAGAUCUGCCCUGUGAUCUGCAAUGUCCUGACGUUCAAACUUCUAAGUCAUCUGUGGAGACCGCUCAACUGAUUCCAAGUGGAAGUACUAAGACUGUCAUUUCAGAAUGCUGCAGAAGCGACACCCUGCCACUUGUGCUUUUGUGAUCCUAGCCACCAGUAAGAAGCCCUGUGACCUUGCUGAGACCCUGAAGAGACCACAUAGAGAGGCCACUUGAAGGGCAAGGGGUCCUGACUCUACAUGGAGAGAGAAGCCCAGCCAUCCCUGUUUCCCAGCUGAGUCCUGACCAGAUAACUCACUACAAGACUGACCACAGGCAAGAACAGCAGAAGAGCUGCCCAGCUGAGCCCAUCCAAGAGUGCAGAAUUUCAAAGAACUCAGAAUGAAGGGGCCUCAGGUUACCUGCA